AUCGAAUAAAAAAAGCGUGUUCAAAAAUGGGGAAGAAUGACGACUUGGAGCUAAAUGGAGCAGAUUUUUCUCUAUUGACAAAGCGAAAUG
Molecule: long non-coding RNA, 90 nt
Organism: Periophthalmus magnuspinnatus
Lineage: Eukaryota; Metazoa; Chordata; Actinopteri; Gobiiformes; Gobiidae
Exons: 3
Source: RefSeq, a predicted model, not a curated record